UCGGGAGUUUUAUUUUAUUGUGGGACUCAUUAUCUAAUUGUGGAUUAUAUUGUUGGGCAUUUUCUUGUAUGGGUCGAUGACGGUGUUGUAAUGGCUCAAAAGAGGGCCUGAAGAUUGUCAACAUUUGGAUAUGAGAAUGGGAGUAUAGGACAAAUUGUCAUCUUUUGGAUCUGCCUUGGAACAUAUUAAAGGGGAUUGAAAAGUUCUUAGUGGGACAAAGGUCUCUGGGCUAAUGCAUGUAGAUUGAAGUUGGAUACCAAGAAGAGAAAGAUAAAGAUUGAUUCAUUCCAGUAUACAAAGAAAAUCAAGCUGACAAAAGCAUACUAUUAGGAAUCCGAUCACAUGGCAACAGGUUCUCUCUGGAGGAUUGCUUUUUAUAAUUGAAUCUUUAAAGAAGAAAUGUCAUUCUAUUGAAGUCUCACUAGUAGGGUGUUGUCUUGCAGAUUUGUAGAUUUGAUGCAAGGAUCGGGUAGAACCUUACUGCCAAGCAGCAGUUGGAACGUGAGCUUGGGGCCAUAUCUUCCUUUAAUUAUAGGGAAAUUAUGUUCUUCCUCAUCAGGCCAUUAUGGAGGGGGUGGCCCACCUCGAGGUGUGGAGUCUGAGAGGCCACGGCUUGUUUUGGAUCCGCCAAGGGUUGAAGGUGGAGGAUCUAUGAUUGAGUCUAGGAGGACUCAGUCGAGCCCAUUCAAUGCAGGUCAUCCGAGGGAGGAGGUUUUGCCUGAGACAGGGCUGGAUUGGAGGAAGGUGGAUUCAGAGAUUGAGGUUACUGAACCCUGGUUAAUUUCUAUACACUUGUUCUCAACAAUAUUGAUUUAUCUUUUUCAUUUUCUUUUUUCUUUAUUUCUUUUUUAUUUUAGUAACAAGUCAUGCCUUUAACCAGAUAUUGUCUCCUGUUUUUGUACAUGUACAUUGUUGAGUAAGAUAUAAAUGUUAGUAAUGGAUGAUGUAAUGACACAGUAGUACAGGACCCCCGAAAUCCAAAUAGAAAUGCAAAACUUAAAUUCUCAAACACCAAGUCAGUCUCAGUCAAACAAAUAAGAUUGUCUUGAAUGGACUAGAUGAUCCAUCCAUUCUACCACUCAUGUCCCAUCUUGAAUGGACAAAGUAAUGGAUGUGAGGCUUGGUAAUAAAAUUCAACUUUUUAAUUUUCUUCUUGUGAUUAGUAUCAUUCUUUGGGAAAAACUUAUUUAAACUAUUUUCCCAUUGCAAGGGCCAUGGUGAAACUAGCACCAGGAUUGCAAUACACCAGCAAGCUGAUUUAGGUGUAGAAGGUUUUUGCCCCAUUUGCUCUGCUUCACGAAUCUCAUGAAACUUCUGUUAAGGUGGAUCAUUUACCUUGUGGAAUAGUUGAAGUGAGUUCUGAUAUGGAAUUGAAGCCUCUAUGAUUGACAAGUGGUGAGAAGUUAAAGCUUGCUUCUUUCUACAUAUUGAGCAAAAAUUCAUUGUGUGAAGAGAUAGGGCCUUCUAAUUCUCACUGGU
Molecule: long non-coding RNA, 1479 nt
Organism: Magnolia sinica
Lineage: Eukaryota; Viridiplantae; Streptophyta; Magnoliopsida; Magnoliales; Magnoliaceae
Exons: 6
Source: RefSeq, a predicted model, not a curated record